This 1832-nucleotide long non-coding RNA is filed under the name Amborella trichopoda. RNAcentral describes it as "long non-coding RNA (ATRI_LNC004358)". The record is from RNAcentral. Lineage: Eukaryota; Viridiplantae; Streptophyta; Magnoliopsida; Amborellales; Amborellaceae.
CAAAGCCUUACUAAAUUAUGCAGAGUAUUAAGGAUAAAAGAUGGAGUACAAUGGUUCAAAAAUUGGUGAGCUAGCUCAAAAUUCCCUCUGCUGGCUUGAAAUGAAGUCUCUCUAAUUCUGAAUGUGCUUUGACUGCAUAAGACCAUAACUAAAUGCUUCACUUUAGGGAGUCAAAUUAUUCUAGAAUUCGAGUGAUUUCUUUUCUUUUUUUUUGCCGGCAAUAUCCUGUACGGAAUCUGUGACCCAGACCCACUUAAUACUGUCAAAGCCAGGCUUUUUGGUCCAGUCAGAACCUGUCCAACCAAAAAAAAUACCAACACAAAAGUUCAAAAAAAAAAUACAAAAGUUUAAAAGAAAAAGGAUAUUCAAAUUAAGGUCGAUAUUAACUAGGUCAAACGUCCUUAACAUCUUCACCUCAACCACCGGCUGUUUCCAAUUGCUCUAUGAAACCUAAAAGAAGAAUAAAAACGACUACUACUUUAUGAAACUUAAAAUAAGAAGACAUAUACUAGAAUGUUAAAAUCGUGAAUUAGUUAUUUAACCAAAAAAAGAAAAACGAAAUUAAAUUGACUACCAACAAUCCCCUAAUUUUACAUGAUUGGCUUCCUAUUUAACGACCCAAAAAAGUCGUAGGGAGGACANNNNNNNNNNNNNNNNNNNNUAAAAUUUCUACUAUAUGAGGUUGUUUUGAUGUCCAAAUAUUCUCAAAUUGAUUAUCUUGACAUCAAGAUACAUGGACAUGAGAAAAAAAAUGGAUUUCAAGUUUUGGAAAUAAUGUAUCUAGUAGCAGUUAAUGAUAAAUGUUGAUGUUUUUUUACAUCAAAUGAAUGUUCCAUGUAUAAAAUAAAAGUAUAGAAGUGUUCAAAAUUAAUGGGUACAAUGAUAAAUUACUUCAUAGGGGUGAACACUCAAACAUAACCUCUAUAUAAAAAAAAAAAAAAUAUAUAUAUAUAUAUAUAUAUAUAUAUUCUAUGUCAGGAUUUGGGUUUAGAACAACGUGCUAGCAGCACAUCAACCAUCCCAUGUCCGAUACGGACGGUUGAUGUCUUGCAAAGGCUUGUAGCAUAAUGUUUGAAAUCCAUAUCAAAGCAUUGUGCAAUUUUCAAAAAAACAGGAAAAUAUAUUAGUUUCAGAGGAAAGGUCAUAUUUGGUAUUUCACAAAAAUUUGAGGUGGUACUGUUAUGUUCAUCACAUGGCAGAACGAGGCUCGUUUUAGAGAGAGAGAAGAGAGAGAAAGUCGUUGAUUUAGAGAGAGAGAGAGAGACAACUCGUUUUGGAGAGAGAGAGAGAGAGAGACAACAUACGAAGCCAGUGAGACAGUGUAGUUCGUUAUUAGGUUUACCAGCUGGUCUGAGAGAGAGAGAGGGAGAGAGAGAGAAUGGCCAUGGCUUUGAACCUCUCUCCAUCUCACUCUGCAAUUCCAAGCUUUCACAGCUUCUCAUCAAAUGGCGUCUCCUCACCUCUCCUCUCUCUUCGCAUCGCCUCCUUUCCAUCUGGCCACCACGUUUCUUUGCUCCACCUCUCAAAUUGCAGGCCAAAACCUCUGAUUCAGGUUAAGGCGCAAGCUCAUUCCCCCUCUUCAGAUGGAGGCGAUGGAAACAAAAGCGGUGGCUUUGGUGGAGGAGGAGAUGGAGGAAGUGGGGGUGAUGGUGGUGAUGGAGAUGCUGGUGAGAGAAACAGAAAGGAAGCGAUCCUUGCUUUGGUUAAUCUUGGCAGAUCAAUAGAGAGCUUACCUAAAGAUUUGGCAUCUGCUAUCGAGGCAGGUCAUAUACCUGGUUCUAUUGUGUAUAGAUUCGCAGAGCUCGAGAAAUCGCCCAUUUUUAGGUGGUUGC